UGGGGAAUAUUGCACAAUGGGCGCAAGCCUGAUGCAGCCAUGCCGCGUGUGUGAAGAAGGCCUUCGGGUUGUAAAGUACUUUCAGCGGGGAGGAAGGGAGUAAAGUUAAUACCUUUGCUCAUUGACGUUACCCGCAGAAGAAGCACCGGCUAACUCCGUGCCAGCAGCCGCGGUAAUACGGAGGGUGCAAGCGUUAAUCGGAAUUACUGGGCGUAAAGCGCACGCAGGCGGUUUGUUAAGUUAGAUGGGAAAUCCCCGGGCUCAACCUGGGAACUGCAGCUGAUACUGGCAAGCUUGAGUCUCGUAGAGGGGGGUAGAAUUCCAGGUGUAGCGGUGAAAUGCGUAGAGAUCUGGAGGAAUACCGGUGGCGAAGGCGGCCCCCUGGACGAAGACUGACGCUCAGGUGCGAAAGCGUGGGGAGCAAACAGG
This 429-nucleotide ribosomal RNA is filed under the name Chloroflexota bacterium. RNAcentral's name for it is "Chloroflexi bacterium partial 16S ribosomal RNA". It matches the Rfam family "Bacterial small subunit ribosomal RNA", at positions 355 to 776 of the family's 1533-position model. Lineage: Bacteria; Bacillati; Chloroflexota. The record is from RNAcentral.